CGGCCGCGGNACUCUGACCGUGCAAAGGUAGCAUAAUCAUUUGCCUUAUAAUUGAAGGCUAGUAUGAAUGGUUUGAUGAAAACAAAGCUGUCUCCUUUUAAUUUUAUAAAACUUGAUUUUUGGGUGAAGAAGCCCAAAUAAAAUUGAUAGACGAGGAGACCCUAUCGAGCUUAAAAAAAUUUUAUNAAAACAAAGUUGCUUAUAAAAGACCAGUUAUAAUAAAAAAUUUUAGUUGGGGCGACUAAGGAACAAUAAAGCUUCCAUUUUUAAUAUUAUAGCAUAUUAGCUAUGAUCCAAAAUCUUUGAUUAAAAGAAUUAGUUACCGUAGGGAUAACAGCAUAAUCUUUUUUGAGAGUUCUUAUCGAAAAAAAGGUUUGNGACCUCGAUGUNGG
This 392-nucleotide ribosomal RNA is filed under the name Caldicochlea globosa. RNAcentral's name for it is "partial 16S ribosomal RNA". It matches the Rfam family "Bacterial large subunit ribosomal RNA", at positions 1928 to 2535 of the family's 2925-position model. Lineage: Eukaryota; Metazoa; Mollusca; Gastropoda; Littorinimorpha; Tateidae. The record is from RNAcentral.